Long non-coding RNA from Oreochromis niloticus (Nile tilapia), 756 nucleotides. RefSeq lists it as uncharacterized. NCBI's taxonomy places the organism in Eukaryota, Metazoa, Chordata, Actinopteri, Cichliformes, Cichlidae. The record is from RefSeq and is a predicted model, not a curated record. The transcript has 3 exons.
UGGGAAUUUCGGAUUUUACACAGGUGGUUGGAUGUUACACUCUGGAAAUGGAAGGAAGCUGCGAUGCAGUCCAGCUACUGGAGGUGAUCACUCCUUUUCAAGGCAAUGGAUGAGUUACAAAAGCAUACCAGAAGCAUCCCAGAAGCAACUCUCUGGUCACGUCAAGCUGCAAGGAGCAGCUAAGGAAGAUAUGUUGAUAUGCAGUCUGGAGGAGUCAGGAACUGAUCCAUCAACCUUCUGACUGGUAGACGAAUGACUGAGCCACAGCAGCCUCACAGUAUUUAAACAGUGUAUGCUUUAUUUCCCUUAUCUGCUCCAUUCAUUCAACAUUUUUCAUUAAUCUAUAACUCCAUUCAACAAUAUUCUAUACCAAUAUACUAUUGUGUAGUAUUGUGUAUUGUGUAGUACCAAUAUAAUAUUUAUGCACACCUUUUAGUAAUGAGUAAAGUAAAGGAUUACUAUUGCAAAAAAAGUAAUUAGAUUACUGUUACUUUCCCGUAAGCACACUGCCUUACUAAACUGUGAUUUUGUUUGUGAGAGUAUCUCAUGACACUGAUGUACGAGUGUGUGACAUCCGUGGCAGCAAAAAACGUGUGUAGAUCAACAAUGGAUAAUAUGGAGUGCGGGAGAGAGUACGACCAUGCAGCGUUUAAAGCAUGGACGUACUUGCACUACUGUAAGUUUAAUUCCGUAAAAAGUGAGAAAAACAUUAGCGUCCGCAGUACACUCUGUGUGGGAAGAAAACUUCUUUCUGCA